Long non-coding RNA from Cavia porcellus (domestic guinea pig), 3695 nucleotides. RefSeq lists it as uncharacterized. Lineage: Eukaryota; Metazoa; Chordata; Mammalia; Rodentia; Caviidae. The record is from RefSeq and is a predicted model, not a curated record. The transcript is spliced from 3 exons.
GACAGAUAGCAGCAGCUAUGGAGGCUCUCUGAAACACCCAGCGUAGAAUUCAGGAAUGGUGCAGAGUAAAGAAUCAUAAGCAAGUGGAGAUAUGCCCUGCUGACCUAAGAAUGAACUGGGCUGAGAGAAACCAACUUGGAAUGCAAUCUGAUGCUAUAACAGGAACAGAAAAGUCUCAGUGUGGAAGCUGGAGCCCGUGCCAUUGGAAGCCGCGAUUUGGGUUUCCUGCCGCGUGGCAGCUGCAUCUACAUCAGCUUGGCUGGGAGAGAGACGUGCGGAAGCUCUGAGAACGGGAAUCGGCGAACGGAGUUGAAAACAGGACGGGCGGGGAACUGUGCAUUGACUUGCGGUAAGCACCUCUCUCUGCAAAUGGUACGGAACGCAAAGACUCAGUAGAAAUCUCAACCUCAGACGCUAGAAUGGCUUCCCAGUAUCGGCUCUAUUACUAUUUGGCAUCAGGGGCCCCUUUGGCCUGGAGAUCCUGCCCCAGAAAAAUGUCUUAAAAUCCACAAUAUAAAACUCAAAAGGUGAAAAAAUGAUGAAUAGAUAACAGCAGGCUACAGAGGCUCACUGAGAUAUUCAACUUAGAAUUCAACAUAACACAGAGUGGGAAGUCCCAAACAGAGGAAGAUGAAUUCUCUUGUCUCAAGAAGAAAUUAAGGUGACUUGCCAACCAUCUGAGGUCCUGUCGCAAAUUGCUGGGGUACUGCUGCGACUUGCCAAGGUCUCACCACGACUUGCCAAGCAGUCCAGGGUCUCGCCACUUUGACUCACUGGAGGCACAGUUGCACUGAGUUUAGGGGUUGGCGAGCCUAAAAGAGAGCUGAGUUGGCAGGGUGCCUGCAUUGACUUGUGGUGAGUGACAGGAGUGGAGCCAUUCCAUAAAUAGGGGGACUCCAGUGGACCACAUUUUGGGACCAGGCAGGACUGGCAAGUACAAGGGGCAGUAGUGACUUCAGUCAAUUGUUCCUUUCCCAAACGGGAUUGGUGGAGUGAGCUACGCCUGGGUCACGUGACCUGGCUGAGCCCCAAUAGGUUAUCCGAGGUCAAGUCCCUGCAGCAGUGGUGCACACUAACCACACUGGCCCAGAGGGGAGGUGGUGCAUAGUAAUACAGUGCAGGCCACAGCAGCUUGACUGAUCUGGAGGGGAGGGGCCAGCAUGUUCUGUUCCUGUCUGCAACUCACUAUCACACUGUUGUGGGAAGGGUCACCUAGCCAGCAUGUUUCAGAAGAAUUGUAACCAACAAAAAAAGAAACUGGGGCCUCCUGGAAGAAGCAAAAAAAAAAAAAAAAAAAAAAGAUGGGAAGAGGAAGCAACAACAAAAAGUCCCCAGGUCCCAACCUUGAGAACACUGACCCAGGGCAGGUAAAUGCAAAGGAGAAUGAGAACAGCAAACAUGCAAUAUAAGACUCAGGGCCAGUGGACAUAAAGAGAUAUAUUCAGGACCUCAUAGAUGAGUUCAAAAGUGAAAUAUUUAGCCAAAUAAAGCAAGAUAUAAGAAGAUUAAUAAAAGAGAUACUAAGCUCCCCUCAAGCAGACACAGACAGAAGAAGGGAGGAACUCAAACAAAUGAGAGAACCAUUUGAUGAAAAAUAUAAAAAAUAUAGAAUACAUGAAGCAGAUUCAAAGAGAUCACCAGGAAAUUAAAAAUUCUAUGGAAAGAAGGCAAAUCAGCUUGAAAGAAACUAAGGAUAGAUUAUCCAAACUGGAGGACAAUUUUGCAAUGUGGGAGUAUGAAAGGAAAAACUUUUUAAAAAUAACAAGGAAACAAGCAGUAACAAUACAAAGGCUAGGAGAUGACAAAAGGAUCUAUAACUCGAGAAUAAAGAAUGUGAAUGAAGAAGCUGGGGUGCAAACAAAGGAACUACAAAGGUUAUUCACAGAAAUAAUUAAGGAAAACUUCCCCAACAUAGGGAAAGGAAAUGACAUUCUGAUAUAUGAGACAUACAGAACUCCAGCCACCUACAACCAAAACAGAGCUACACCUGGGCAUAUAAUAAUCAAUAUUCCAGAAAUUCAAUCUAAGAACAGAAUAUUAAAAGCUGUUAGAGACAAGAAACAGAUAACCUGUAGAGGAAGACCCAUCAGAAUAAUAACAGACUUCUUGACACAAACCAUCAAGUCAAGAAGAGCCUGAAGCAAAAUACUCCAAGCCCUGAAAGAAAAUAACCUCCAUCCCAGAUUGAUAUACCCUGAUAAACUGUCUCUAGAAAUUAAUGGAGAAACAAGAUGCUUCCAAGACAAAGAGGAACUUGGGAAAUUCACAACCACCAAUCCAACUCUACAGAGAAUACUGCAGGGCAUUCUAGAGAGAGAGAAAAGUCCUAGGAUUCCAGGUACAGUGGCAGAGAGGCCUCAGUGAAUGGAGCAGAAAACAGAAUGAAGAAGAUAAGCACACAACUGAUGGCAAAACAGGAGCAUAACAAAAAUGAGGCAGAGAAAAUUUUAUUCAAAACUGUUAUGAUUGAUAGUAUCAAGUCUGAGAGUAUAGGCAACUACACUGAAGAUGACAAGACUCUCUGAUACACAUUCUGGUUUGAUAACUGUCAGUUUUUGAAGUUCUAUACUAUAUACAAAGUUGUGUUUUUAUGAAUACUGUUAUGUACUGAUAUAUUCAAUUAUACUAUAUCUGAUGAUACAACCAAUUCUAUUGGAGAUAACAAGAGACAACACAGGAACCAUGGUAGAUCUCUUUGUACAAUGAUCUUAUAUGUUUAUUUCAUUUCAUGUGUUUAUAGGAAUAUGUUUUGUUUUGCCUUGCUUUCUUUUGUUUCUCCCUCUAAUAUAGAAAGGAUAAAAAUGCAUGUUAAGACUCAUGCAUGUGAGAAUCUAUAAACAGUCUAUGAGAACUGAUCUUAUGACACAUAAUGAAAUGAAUAGAUACUUUGAAGAAAAAGAGACACUAAAAUACCCAGUGCUGAUCGUGGAGUGUCAUGAUGUGAAACCCAGCAAUAGUAUUAUUCUUUGUUUCAGAGUGAUAUUAGCCUGCUUGGGUUUAUUCAGUCUCAACAUAAUUGAAGAUAUAUGAAUAACUGCAUGUAUGUUUAAGUGUGUAGGAUUGAUAACCAUAUUUCUAAGUUUUUGUUGGAUAGUUGAACAGAACUGGUUGCAAUCUCACCGUUUGAAUCCCCACUUUAUAUGCUCCACUUUAGUAUCUUGAAUAACUAUUUGUAAGAAGACAAUCUGUAAUCAUCAACUAGUGAUUUCUUACUGUUUCUUUCUUUGAAAUUAUGUAUUAUUUCUACCCAUUUUCUGUUUUGUUUAGUCUUUCUUUAAAUUAAAUUUUUUAAAAAAGACACUACAGUACCCAGUGCUGAUCACGGAGUGUCAUCAUGUGAAAUCCAGCAAUACUAUUAUUCUUUGUUCAGAAUGAUUUUAACCUGCUUUAGUUAGUUUAAUCUCAACAUAAAUGAAGAUAUGUAUAAUGCAUAUAUGUUUAAGUGUAUAGGAUUGCCAACCAUGUUACUAAGUUUUUGUUGGACAGUUGAACAGAACUGUUUGCAGUCUCACUUUACAUGAAUUCCCACUUUACAUGUUCCAUUUUUGUACUUUGAACAACUAUUUGUAAAAUGACAAUGUGUAAACAUCAACUAGUGAUUUCUUACUGUUUAUUUUUUUUCUCUGAAUGUAUGUAUUAUUUCUAUUUUCUGUUUUGCUUAGUCUUUCUUUAAAUAAAAUUUUAAAAACUCAAAA